This 304-nucleotide unclassified non-coding RNA is filed under the name Hevea brasiliensis (rubber tree). Lineage: Eukaryota; Viridiplantae; Streptophyta; Magnoliopsida; Malpighiales; Euphorbiaceae. The record is from RNAcentral.
UCAACCCUUGGAUUUGGUGUGAUGCUAAAGUAGUAUAUAUUUGCAAGGGUCCUUUGGAUGUUGCACUACUGCAGCUUGAAUAUGUUCCAGACCAGCUUUCCCCUAUCAAGGUGGAUUUCGCUUGCCCAAUUUUGGGAUCAAAGGCUUAUGUUAUUGGACAUGGACUCUUUGGACCAAGAUGUGGCUUUUCCCCUUCUGUUUGCUCUGGGGUGGUAGCAAAAAUAGUUAAAGCCGAAGCUCCUCCAUAUUAUCGAUACAAAGGGGAUUCACAUAUUCCUGCAAUGCUUGAAACAACAGCUGCUGU